This 73-nucleotide transfer RNA is filed under the name Longibaculum muris. It matches the Rfam family "tRNA". Rfam says of the family: Transfer RNA (tRNA) molecules are approximately 80 nucleotides in length. Their secondary structure includes four short double-helical elements and three loops (D, anti-codon, and T loops). The record is from Rfam by way of RNAcentral. Lineage: Bacteria; Bacillati; Bacillota; Erysipelotrichia; Erysipelotrichales; Coprobacillaceae.
ACUUCGGUAGCUCAGUGGAUAGAGCAAUCGCCUCCUAAGCGAUAGGUCGUGCGUUCAAAUCGCAUCCGGAGUA